UGAGCAACCUGCCCUUGACCCUGGAAUAACAGCUGGAAACAGCUGCUAAUACCGGAUACGACCUCCGAUGGCAUCAUCUGGAGGUGGAAAGCUCCGACGGUCAAGGAUGGGCUCGCGGCCUAUCAGCUUGUUGGUGAGGUAACGGCUCACUAAGGCUUCGACGGGUAGCCGGCCUGAGAGGGCGACCGGCCACACUGGGACUGAGAUACGGCCCAGACCUCCCGUAGGGACGG
RNAcentral lists this ribosomal RNA (233 nucleotides) under uncultured bacterium. Its description in RNAcentral is "partial 16S ribosomal RNA". It matches the Rfam family "Bacterial small subunit ribosomal RNA", at positions 118 to 348 of the family's 1533-position model. The record is from RNAcentral.